AGCGUUGUUCGGAAUUACUGGGCGUAAAGCGCACGUAGGCGGACACCCAAGUCAGGGGUGAAAUCCCGGAGCUCAACUCCGGAACUGCCUUUGAAACUAUGUAACUAGAAUCUUGGAGAGGCGAGUGGAAUUCCGAGUGUAG
Molecule: ribosomal RNA, 142 nt
Filed under: uncultured Alphaproteobacteria bacterium
Lineage: Bacteria; Pseudomonadati; Pseudomonadota; Alphaproteobacteria
Description: partial 16S ribosomal RNA
Rfam family: Bacterial small subunit ribosomal RNA
Source: RNAcentral